This 306-nucleotide ribosomal RNA is filed under the name uncultured eukaryote. RNAcentral describes it as "partial large subunit ribosomal RNA". It matches the Rfam family "Eukaryotic large subunit ribosomal RNA", at positions 40 to 350 of the family's 3401-position model. The record is from RNAcentral.
AUAUCAAUAAGCGGAGGAAAAGAAACCAACAGGGAUUGCCCUAGUAACGGCGAGUGAAGCGGCAACAGCUCAAAUUUUAAAUCUGCCUUCGGCCCGAGUUGUAGUCUAUAGAGGAUGUCUUCUGACGCAGUGCCUUCCGAGUUCCCUGGAACGGGACGCCAUAGAGGGUGAGAGCCCCGUACCCGGCCGGAUGGCAGCGCCAUGUGACUCCUUCGACGAGUCGAGUUGUUUGGGAAUGCAGCUCAAAAUGGGUGGUAAAUUCCAUCUAAAGCUAAAUAUUGGUGGGAGACCGAUAGCGCACAAGUA